GUCUAUGGCCAUGCCACCCUGAACAAGCCUGAUGUCUGAUCUCAGAAGCUAAACAGGGUUAGGCCUGGUUGGUACUUGGAUGGGAGACCACCUAGGAAGACCAGGUGCUGUAAGCA
Molecule: ribosomal RNA, 116 nt
Filed under: Pteropus alecto (black flying fox)
Lineage: Eukaryota; Metazoa; Chordata; Mammalia; Chiroptera; Pteropodidae
Source: RNAcentral